RNAcentral lists this long non-coding RNA (709 nucleotides) under Gossypium barbadense (sea-island cotton). RNAcentral describes it as "long non-coding RNA (GBAR_LNC001840)". Lineage: Eukaryota; Viridiplantae; Streptophyta; Magnoliopsida; Malvales; Malvaceae. The record is from RNAcentral.
UUGAUUUUGUGGGUGUUUGGAAAUUUUGGGGUUAGUUUGUUGUGGUUCAGUUUUGUGGUGAAAUGGAUAAUUCGAAGAAUCGGCUUAAUGAUCAUCUUGGUGUGAACAAAAUCGGGAAGAAUAUAAAGAAGAGCCCGUUGCAUCAACCUAAUUUCGCUAAUAAUGCGACUAGGCAACAGCCUCAGCCUCAAGUUUACAAUAUUAGCAAGAAUGAUUUCAGGAACAUUGUUCAACAACUCACUGGUUCACCGUCACAUAAUGAUCCUUUGCCAAGGCCUCCACAGAAUCCACCAAAACCCCAAAGUAUGAGGUUGCAGAGAAUUAGGCCUCCACCAUUGACACCAAUCAAUCGGCCUCAUAUUCCUCCCCUGGCUCCUGUCCCUGCCCCUGUUCCUGCUCAUGCACCGGCUCCGGUUCCACCUCCUGGUCCAUAUAAUAACCCUGGCUUAGUUAGGCCUGGACCACCUGGUCAAUAUGGACAACCACCAUCUACAAUGAUGCAACCUAUGGUUCCUGGUGAUGCUCCAUGGGCAAACACAGCUGACUCUCCUAUAUCUGCUUAUAUGCGAUAUCUUCAAACUUCUCUUAUAGAUCCAAGUCCAGUUGGAAAUCAAGUUCAACCUCAACUACAUCCGCUGGUUCCAGGGCAACCUCACGUUCCACCACCAUCUUCUGGUUUGCUUCCUAAUCCACCAAUGCCGGCUCUUCC